UCGUUAUUGUUGAUAAUUUGCCAUGUAUUUUUUCUCUUUUGUAUCUCAAUACCCUCUAGUGUAGUUAACUCACCCGCCAUGGUUCCUCAGGCUGUUCCGGAUAUGUGCGAUAUGGCACCACAAAUAGGCCACUUACUACUAGACUUUGGCGGCCUGCAGAGGGAGAGGAUGGGAUGGGAGCUCAUUGUGGCCGGGGUGGUGGAUCGGGGGUCAUGGGACUUGAAUGGGAAAUUUAAAGCUGCAGUGGGCUGCACCAAAGAAUGGAUGAGAGCUCAAUCUGUCACAUGCGCUGGGGACGACGAAUCUAAAAGGCUGGUGCUUGUGCAGAGGGACCA
This 335-nucleotide long non-coding RNA is filed under the name Androctonus crassicauda. Lineage: Eukaryota; Metazoa; Arthropoda; Arachnida; Scorpiones; Buthidae. The record is from RNAcentral.